GAUGAACGCUGGCGGCGUGCCUAAUACAUGCAAGUCGAGCGAACGGACGAGAAGCUUGCUUCUCUGAUGUUAGCGGCGGACGGGUGAGUAACACGUGGAUAACCUACCUAUAAGACUGGGAUAACUUCGGGAAACCGGAGCUAAUACCGGAUAAUAUUUUGAACCGCAUGGUUCAAAAGUGAAAGACGGUCUUGCUGUCACUUAUAGAUGGAUCCGCGCUGCAUUAGCUAGUUGGUAAGGUAACGGCUUACCAAGGCAACGAUGCAUAGCCGACCUGAGAGGGUGAUCGGCCACACUGGAACUGAGACACGGUCCAGACUCCUACGGGAGGCAGCAGUAGGGAAUCUUCCGCAAAGGGCGAAAGCCUGACGGAGCAACGCCGCGUGAGUGAUGAAGGUCUUCGGAUCGUAAAACUCUGUUAUUAGGGAAGAACAUAUGUGUAAGUAACUGUGCACAUCUUGACGGUACCUAAUCAGAAAGCCACGGCUAUCUACGUG
This 497-nucleotide ribosomal RNA is filed under the name uncultured bacterium. Its description in RNAcentral is "partial 16S ribosomal RNA". It matches the Rfam family "Bacterial small subunit ribosomal RNA", at positions 28 to 507 of the family's 1533-position model. The record is from RNAcentral.